AUGCAAAUCACCUGGAUCUUGUUAAAAUACAGUCUUUUUUUUUUCCAGAUGGUCUGGGAUGGGGCCCUAGAUUCUGCACUUCUAACAAGUCAACAGGUGAUGCUGUC
RNAcentral lists this microRNA precursor (107 nucleotides) under Marmota monax (woodchuck). The record is from RNAcentral. Lineage: Eukaryota; Metazoa; Chordata; Mammalia; Rodentia; Sciuridae.